RNAcentral lists this ribosomal RNA (442 nucleotides) under uncultured bacterium. RNAcentral describes it as "partial 16S ribosomal RNA". It matches the Rfam family "Bacterial small subunit ribosomal RNA", at positions 338 to 795 of the family's 1533-position model. The record is from RNAcentral.
CCUACGGGAGGCAGCAGUGGGGGAUAUUGGACAAUGGGGGGAACCCUGAUCCAGCGACGCCGCGUGAGUGAAGAAGUAUCUCGGUAUGUAAAGCUCUAUCAGCAGGGAAGAAGAAAUGACGGUACCUGAGUAAGAAGCCCCGGCUAACUACGUGCCAGCAGCCGCGGUAAUACGUAGGGGGCAAGCGUUAUCCGGAUUUACUGGGUGUAAAGGGAGCGUAGGUGGCAAGGCAAGUCAGAUGUGAAAACCCGGGGCCCAACCCCGGGAGUGCAUUUGAAACUGUCUGGCUAGAGUGCAGGAGAGGUAAGUGGAAUUCCUAGUGUAGCGGUGAAAUGCAUAGAUAUUAGGAGGAACACCAGUGGCGAAGGCGGCUUACUGGACUGUAACUGACACUGAGGCUCGAAAGCGUGGGGAGCAAACAGGAUUAGAUACCCUGGUAGUC